RNAcentral lists this unclassified non-coding RNA (508 nucleotides) under Hevea brasiliensis (rubber tree). The record is from RNAcentral. Lineage: Eukaryota; Viridiplantae; Streptophyta; Magnoliopsida; Malpighiales; Euphorbiaceae.
CCCGACCCGAAAACCCAAAAAAACCCACAUACCCGGAUCCAUCAAAAUCAGAUCGAAUCGGAUCAAUCCGAAGCCUUCAUCUUCUCCACCCGCUUAUUCAGCUGUUCAACUUUCACAACAAGGCCAGUAACAGAGUAUAAUAACCAAUAGAACACCAGCGCACAGGCGAUUAGAAGCGCAUUACGCUGCGAUUUCAUGAUUGAUUUCUGAUGACGAAGGUACUCCGAUGGAGAACACGAUUCGGAUUCACAAGUGGGUCGGGUCUCGUAUUUCCAGUAGAUAUCCAUUAAGAGAAAGAGGCAAAAGGGAACAAUGGAGAGAAAUGGCUUGAGGAGAUUCCGGGUCACGGAAAUUAGCCCUUUUCGAAGCGGGUUAAGACCCGGAACCGUUAAUAGAAGCAGCAUGAUGGCUUCGGCUCCGGCGGCGUAGCCGAGAACAACCCAUUCCAACGCCAUUGAUGAUUGAUCGAAGAAUUGAAGGUAAUUUUCUUUUUUUUUUUUCAGAGAAG